RNAcentral lists this ribosomal RNA (903 nucleotides) under Triticum aestivum (bread wheat). RNAcentral's name for it is "partial small subunit ribosomal RNA". The record is from RNAcentral. Lineage: Eukaryota; Viridiplantae; Streptophyta; Magnoliopsida; Poales; Poaceae.
AUGGCCGGAAGCCGCCGCCGCCGCCGCCGCGGAAGAGCGCGGCUGCCGCAGCAGGGUGCCGAACCCUCGCCGCAGGCAGAGACCGCUCUCAGCUCCACGUCUGCACCCUCACCCCAACCCAGAGAAGUUACCACUGUGGAGAGAACCUCGAAGAACGCCUGCCCUGCUUCAGCCUCUACCUCCUUGCCUUUGUCUGGCCCUCAUGUUUGUGCAGAUCUCCUGGACAGCCUGCUUCAAGAAAUUCUGCUUCAUGAAAUUAUUGCUCUGUUUGACUCAUUCUAUGACUUCCUUGCAUUCAUUGGCACCUGCCGCUCUUGGCGCGCUGCAGUCUCUACCUUUCCCUCUGUGCAUACAUUCAGCUUCCCGCCGCUCCACUUCAAACCAGAUGGUCCUUAUGUUCAUCCACAUAGCGGCCCUAUCAAGCCCAUCCUUUUAUCUGAUUGCAAAUGGCAGCUCAGUGAUCCUAGCAAGAAAAACUCAUCUCUUGCGUGUUCAGUGCCUAAAAAUAGUCCAAAUAAAAUGCACUAUUUGGGCUGCUCGUAUGGGUAUCUUAUCUUCUCCUACAAGGUUCACUGCCUCCUUGUCGAUGUGUACACUGGUAGCAAGGUGAUGCCCCCCAAACUCCCACGUAACAGUGAUCUUGGGUACUUUUGUGGCAUAGGCAUCCUUACGGCCCCAUCGAUUUCACCCAACUCUCGCCUCCUCCUUUUCUCAAGAGAUUCCAUGUUUGAGUGGCAGGUUGGAACAAACUCCUGGUCAGAGCACACCCUUACUCUUGAUAAUGAACGCAUCUAUCAGAUUGUGUUCUUCAAAGAUGAUAUCUUUGUCGUAGAUGCUGUUCUCAGGCUCCACACUAUACACCUGACACCUCAGUUCAGCAUGCAAGAAAUAGCAAUUAAAUAG